GACGAACGCUGGCGGCGUGCUUAACACAUGCAAGUCGAACGGAAAGGCCCUGCUUUUGUGGGGUGCUCGAGUGGCGAACGGGUGAGUAACACGUGAGUAACCUGCCCUUGACUUUGGGAUAACUUCAGGAAACUGGGGCUAAUACCGGAUAGGAGCUCCUGCUGCGUGGUGGGGGUUGGAAAGUUUCGGCGGUUGGGGAUGGACUCGCGGCUUAUCAGCUUGUUGGUGGGGUAGUGGCUUACCAAGGCUUUGACGGGUAGCCGGCCUGAGAGGGUGACCGGCCACAUUGGGACUGAGAUACGGCCCAGACUCCUACGGGAGGCAGCAGUGGGGAAUAUUGCACAAUGGGCGGAAGCCUGAUGCAGCAACGCCGCGUGCGGGAUGACGGCCUUCGGGUUGUAAACCGCUUUCGCCUGUGACGAAGCGUGAGUGACGGUAAUGGGUAAAGAAGCACCGGCUAACUACGUGCCAGCAGCCGCGGUGAUACGUAGGGUGCGAGCGUUGUCCGGAUUUAUUGGGCGUAAAGGGCUCGUAGGUGGUUGAUCGCGUCGGAAGUGUAAUCUUGGGGCUUAACCCUGAGCGUGCUUUCGAUACGGGUUGACUUGAGGAAGGUAGGGGAGAAUGGAAUUCCUGGUGGAGCGGUGGAAUGCGCAGAUAUCAGGAGGAACACCAGUGGCGAAGGCGGUUCUCUGGGCCUUUCCUGACGCUGAGGAGCGAAAGCGUGGGGAGCGAACAGGCUUAGAUACCCUGGUAGUCCACGCUGUAAACGGUGGGUACUAGGUGUGGGGUCCAUUCCACGGGUUCCGUGCCGUAGCUAACGCUUUAAGUACCCCGCCUGGGGAGUACGGCCGCAAGGCUAAAACUCAAAGGAAUUGACGGGGCCCCGCACAAGCGGCGGAGCAUGCGGAUUAAUUCGAUGCAACGCGUAGAACCUUACCUGGGUUUGACAUGGAUCGGGAGCGCUCAGAGAUGGGUGUGCCUCUUUUGGGGUCGGUUCACAGGUGGUGCAUGGCUGUCGUCAGCUCGUGUCGUGAGAUGUUGGGUUAAGUCCCGCAACGAGCGCAACCCUUGUUCACUGUUGCCAGCACGUUAUGGUGGGGACUCAGUGGAGACCGCCGGGGUCAACUCGGAGGAAGGUGGGGAUGACGUCAAGUCAUCAUGCCCCUUAUGUCCAGGGCUUCACGCAUGCUACAAUGGCUGGUACAGAGAGUGGCGAGCCUGUGAGGGUGAGCGAAUCUCGGAAAGCCGGUCUCAGUUCGGAUUGGGGUCUGCAACUCGACCUCAUGAAGUCGGAGUCGCUAGUAAUCGCAGAUCAGCAACGCUGCGGUGAAUACGUUCCCGGGGCUUGUACACACCGCCCGUCAAGUCAUGAAAGUUGGUAACACCCGAAGCCGGUGGCCUAACCGUUGUGGGGGAGCCGUCGAAGGUGGGAUUGGUGAUUAGG
Molecule: ribosomal RNA, 1444 nt
Filed under: uncultured bacterium
Lineage: Bacteria
Description: 16S ribosomal RNA
Rfam family: Bacterial small subunit ribosomal RNA
Source: RNAcentral